This 545-nucleotide ribosomal RNA is filed under the name Nectriaceae sp. HF15187. RNAcentral's name for it is "eukaryotic LSU rRNA". The stretch from base 161 to 314 matches the Rfam family "5.8S ribosomal RNA". The record is from RNAcentral. Lineage: Eukaryota; Fungi; Ascomycota; Sordariomycetes; Hypocreales; Nectriaceae.
GGGCUCGGGGUUCGCUCCAACCCACUGUGACAUACCCAUCGUUGCUUCGGCGGGACCGCCCCGGCGCCUCUGCGCGCCGGACUCUGGCGCCCGCCGGGGGCCCGAAACUCUUGCCUCUUCGCGCGGAUUCUCUGAGUGGCACGAAAAAACAAUGAAUCAAAACUUUCAACAACGGAUCUCUUGGUUCUGGCAUCGAUGAAGAACGCAGCGAAAUGCGAUAAGUAAUGUGAAUUGCAGAAUUCAGUGAAUCAUCGAAUCUUUGAACGCACAUUGCGCCCGCCGGUAUUCUGGCGGGCAUGCCUGUUCGAGCGUCAUUUCAACCCCUCAUGCCCCUCUCGGGCGUGGCGUUGGGGACCGGCCCCGCCACAGCGGCGGCCGCCCCCGAAAUCCAGUGGCGGCCACGCCGCGGCUCCCUCUGCGCAGUAGCAAUCGCCUCGCAGCCUGGGACGCGGCGCGGCCACGCCUCGACUCAAAAUCAUCUCGUGGUUGACCUCGGAUCAGGUAGGAAUACCCGCUGAACUUAAGCAUAUCAAAAGAAGGAGGAA